Long non-coding RNA from Humulus lupulus (European hop), 479 nucleotides. RefSeq lists it as uncharacterized. NCBI's taxonomy places the organism in Eukaryota, Viridiplantae, Streptophyta, Magnoliopsida, Rosales, Cannabaceae. The transcript is spliced from 3 exons. The record is from RefSeq and is a predicted model, not a curated record.
AGAGAGAAGAGAGAGAGAGAGAGGGCGUGACCUAGAGAGAGAAGGAGAAGAAGAAAGAAAGGAAGAAGAAGAAGAAGAAGAAGAAAGGGUUCAAGCUAGGGUUCAAGCUAAGGGUUUGAGCAAGGAGGUUAUUGGACUCUUGAUUGGAUUUGAUUCUUGAUUUUCUAUCAAGAAGAGGUAGAAAAUAGGAUUUCUUUAUGGCACGCGUGGUGACGUGAGGAGUUUUUUCAUCAUGGGGUGUAUGGCGUGGGGUAAUCCUAUGGACGGAAAAACGAUCAACGUAGAACGCCAUUUAAAUUAUGUUUUGUUUUUAAGAGACUUUCCUAAAUUAUCAGUGGGACUCAGUUAUUUAAUUUUUGGUUUCUUUGAACUUUGCAUAAAAAUCUAUGUUUUAUUUUAAAACUUAUGGCGCCAACUUGCAUGGUUUUAAACAAGUCCCCCUGAGACUUUGAUAAUGAAUGGUAUUCUUUUAUAAACUA